Molecule: ribosomal RNA, 49 nt
Filed under: Trichoderma inhamatum
Lineage: Eukaryota; Fungi; Ascomycota; Sordariomycetes; Hypocreales; Hypocreaceae
Description: partial 28S ribosomal RNA
Source: RNAcentral
CCUCGUUAGGUAGGAAUACCCGUUGACUUAAGCUAUAUAAGCGAGGAUC